CAUGCAAGUCGACGGUAACAGGCCGCAAGGUGCUGACGAGUGGCGAACGGGUGAGUAAUGCAUCGGAACGUGCCCAGUCGUGGGGGAUAACGCAGCGAAAGCUGUGCUAAUACCGCAUACGAUCUGUGGAUGAAAGCGGGGGACCGAAAGGCCUCGCGCGAUUGGAGCGGCCGAUGUCAGAUUAGGUAGUUGGUGGGGUAAAGGCUCACCAAGCCAACGAUCUGUAGCUGGUCUGAGAGGACGACCAGCCACACUGGGACUGAGACACGGCCCAGACUCCUACGGGAGGCAGCAGUGGGGAAUUUUGGACAAUGGGCGCAAGCCUGAUCCAGCAAUGCCGCGUGCAGGAAGAAGGCCUUCGGGUUGUAAACUGCUUUUGUACGGAGCGAAAAGGCUCUCUCUAAUACAGGGGGUUCAUGACGGUACCGUAAGAAUAAGCACCGGCUAACUACGUGCCAGCAGCCGCGGUAAUACGUAGGGUGCAAGCGUUAAUCGGAAUUACUGGGCGUAAAGCGUGCGCAGGCGGUUUUGUAAGACAGGCGUGAAAUCCCCGGGCUCAACCUGGGAAUGGCGCUUGUGACUGCAAGGCUGGAGUGCGGCAGAGGGGGAUGGAAUUCCGCGUGUAGCAGUGAAAUGCGUAGAUAUGCGGAGGAACACCGAUGGCGAAGGCAAUCCCCUGGGCCUGCACUGACGCUCAUGC
This 700-nucleotide ribosomal RNA is filed under the name uncultured bacterium. RNAcentral's name for it is "bacterial SSU rRNA". It matches the Rfam family "Bacterial small subunit ribosomal RNA", at positions 54 to 752 of the family's 1533-position model. The record is from RNAcentral.